Homo sapiens (human) is the source of this 1261-nucleotide long non-coding RNA. NCBI's taxonomy places the organism in Eukaryota, Metazoa, Chordata, Mammalia, Primates, Hominidae. The record is from Ensembl.
CCCACCCCCUGGCCCCCCUGGCAAAUCCUGAUCUUCCACAUCCCUGCAUGUCACCCCCUCAUUCUUAUUUUUUAAAAACUAAAAUUCCUCUAUUAAAUGAUGAAGAUAAAGGAGAAGAUACAGCUUAUAAAACUACAUAAAACACAGCAUAACCAAAGAGAUGAAAACAUGUAUAAAGAAAGCUAAUUAAAGAGAAAAUAGAGUAAACAGACUAUAGAAAUAGUGUGAGACGAAAAGCAAAUUUGAGCGAUUUUCUUAUUCGAAUUCAAAAUGGGUCAUAAAGUGGCAGAGACAACUCGUAACAUCAACAAUGCAUUUGGCCCAGGAACUGCUAACGAACGUACAGUACAGUGGCGGUUCAAGAAGUUUCACAAAGGAGAUGAGAGCCUUGAAGAUAAGGAGCACGGCAGCCGGCCAUUGGAAGUUGAUAAUAAUCAGUUGAGACCACUCAUCGAAGCUAAUCUACUUACAACUACUCGAGAAGUUGCCAAAGAUCUCAGUGUCGACCACUCUAUGGUCAUUAGGCAUUUGAAGCAAAUUGGAAAGAUGAAAAACUUUGGAUAAGUGGAUGCCUCGUGAGCUGAGCAAAAAUUUAAAAAAAAAUAGUCAUUUUGAAGUGUCAUCUUCUCUUAUUCUACACAACAACGAUGAACCAUUUCUCCAUUGGAUUGUGAUGUGCAAUGAAAAGUGGAUUUUAUAUGACAACCGGUGAUGACCAGGUCAGUGGUUGAACUGAGAGGAAGCUCCAAAGCACUUCCGAAAAUCAAACUUGCACCAAAAAAGGUUAUGGUCACUGCUGGGUGGUCUGCUGCUGGUCUGAUCCACUACAGCUUUCUGAAUCCCGGUGAAAACAUUACAUCUGAGAAGUAUGAUCAGCAAAUCGAUGAGAUGCACCAAAAAUUGCAAUGCCUGGAGCUGGCAUUGGUCAAUAGAAAGGGCCCAAUUCUUCUCGACAAGCCUGACCACACAUUGCACAACCAAAGCUUCAAAAGUUGAACAAAUUGGGCUACGAAGUUUUGCCUCAUCCGCCAUAUUCACGUGACCUCUUACCAACUGACUACCACUUCUUCCAGUAUCUCAACAACUUUGUCCAGGGAAAAUGCUUCCACCACCAGCAGGAUGCAGAAAAUGCUUUCCAAUAGUUUGUCAAAUCCUGAAGCACAGAUUUUUAUACUACAGGAAUAAACAAACUUAUGUCAAAUCCUGAAGCACAGAUUUUUAUGUUACAGGAAUAAACAAACUUAUUUCUCAUUGACAAAAA